AGAGUUUGAUCAUGGCUCAGAACGAACGCUGGCGGCAGGCUUAACACAUGCAAGUCGAGCGCCCCGCAAGGGGAGCGGCAGACGGGUGAGUAACGCGUGGGAACAUACCCUUUGGUUCGGAAUAACUCAGGGAAACUUGAGCUAAUACCGGAUACGUCCGUAAGGAGAAAGAUUUAUCGCCAAAGGAUUGGCCCGCGUCCGAUUAGCUAGUUGGUGAGGUAACGGCUCACCAAGGCUACGAUCGGUAGCUGGUCUGAGAGGAUGAUCAGCCACAUUGGGACUGAGACACGGCCCAAACUCCUACGGGAGGCAGCAGUGGGGAAUAUUGGACAAUGGGCGCAAGCCUGAUCCAGCCAUGCCGCGUGAGUGAUGAAGGCCUUAGGGUUGUAAAGCUCUUUUGUCCGGGAAGAUAAUGACUGUACCGGAAGAAUAAGCCCCGGCUAACUUCGUGCCAGCAGCCGCGGUAAUACGAAGGGGGCUAGCGUUGUUCGGAAUCACUGGGCGUAAAGCGCACGUAGGCGGACCGUUAAGUCGGAGGUGAAAGCCUGGGGCUCAACCCCAGAACUGCCUUCGAUACUGGCGGUCUUGAGUAUGGUAGAGGUUGGUGGAACUCCGAGUGUAGAGGUGAAAUUCGUAGAUAUUCGGAAGAACACCAGUGGCGAAGGCGGCCAACUGGACCAUUACUGACGCUGAGGUGCGAAAGCGUGGGGGGCAAACAGGAUUAGAUACCCUGGUAGUCC
This 740-nucleotide ribosomal RNA is filed under the name uncultured bacterium. Its description in RNAcentral is "bacterial SSU rRNA". It matches the Rfam family "Bacterial small subunit ribosomal RNA", at positions 8 to 796 of the family's 1533-position model. The record is from RNAcentral.